AUGGUGGGAUACAGGACAUCAGGCCACGGGCAUGUGCCCAUGGACCACCCUGUUCUCCUGGCAGGCGCCCCAUCCCCAUGGCAGGCCCCUCUGCCCCCAUGGUUGGCCACGCUGUCACUGUGGUGGGUCACCAUGUCCCUAGGGUGGGCCAGCAGCCCUGCUGCUGCCUGGUCCCUGCUGCUGCCACCAGCACAGCCCCUGUCACAGAGGCCUCGCAGACACCAAAAACGGUGCUGGUAUUACCCACCCAAAGAUACGGCUGAAGCCCCGAGGGCUGCGGGGAUGAGGACACCCCUAUCCAAGGCCCCAGUGCUCCUUCGCUCCCAGUGGCGCAAGGAUGAUGGUGCCCAGAAGUGCCCAGCAUCCUGCCAGCCCCUCACUGGCAGCCCUCCCAGGGCACGGCACAGCCCUGGAGCAGCGCGAUCACACGCAGGUGCUGCCGUUGGGAUGAUCCCCGUGCGCCGCACCCUCGGAGCUGCGGCUGCUUCCUCUUACCUGCCGCUGUGGGGCUGCCCCCGAGGCCGAGCGGUGCCGUGCUGUGCCAGGCUCCCCCGGGCCCACACCGCACACGUGAUGCCGGAGGAAAUCGGCUCGGCGCUGGGAAGGAAGUUGAAGCAGAGAGCACCUCGGUGCUGGUCCACCCCACAUCCCUGUGCCUCACCGGGGACUCCGGCUCCCCGGCCCAGCCGCCUCCCCGAACCCACCUCGCGCCCGUCCGCGGGACUGCCCGGCCAUCCUGGCGGGACACCGAGGCUCCCGGCCCCGGAUGGACACCAGGGCUGGACUCACUGGACUCUGUGUGCUGGGAUAGCAUUGCCGGCUUCAGCUGCGGGAGAGGGUUUGGGUGAGGGUGGGACUGGAGGGCACCGAGCACUGGGACCGCAGGCACAGCAGAGCCCCACAGAGCCCUGUGUCUCCCCUGGACACCCCCAACCUGGUGCCCCCACCCACCUUCUCCGGCCCUGGGCAGGGCUGGGCCAUCUGUGCCACCCGCGGCGUCUCGGUGCUGGCCCUGCACGCCAGGGCUGCGGGAGGAGCCGGGGCCAGCGCAGUGCGGAGCGAGGCGCCAGGGCAGGACCGCAGCCGGCUCGGGGUGACAGCUCACACUCACCCGGCUCUCACAGAGGUUCUGUCACGGAGGGGAAGUGA
Corvus moneduloides (New Caledonian crow) is the source of this 1149-nucleotide long non-coding RNA. NCBI's taxonomy places the organism in Eukaryota, Metazoa, Chordata, Aves, Passeriformes, Corvidae. The record is from Ensembl.